Molecule: ribosomal RNA, 484 nt
Filed under: uncultured bacterium
Lineage: Bacteria
Description: partial 16S ribosomal RNA
Rfam family: Bacterial small subunit ribosomal RNA
Source: RNAcentral
AUUGAACGCUAGCGGGAUGCUUUACACAUGCAAAUCGAACGGCAGCGCGGACUUCGGUCUGGCGGCGAGUGGCGAACGGGUGAGUAAUGUAUCGGAACGUGCCCAGUAGCGGGGGAUAACUACGCGAAAGCGUAGCUAAUACCGCAUACGCCCUACGGGGGAAAGCAGGGGAUCGUAAGACCUUGCACUAUUGGAGCGGCCGAUAUCGGAUUAGCUAGUUGGUGAGGUAACGGCUCACCAAGGCGACGAUCCGUAGCUGGUUUGAGAGGACGACCAGCCACACUGGGACUGAGACACGGCCCAGACUCCUACGGGAGGCAGCAGUGGGGAAUUUUGGACAAUGGGGGCAACCCUGAUCCAGCCAUCCCGCGUGUGCGAUGAAGGCCUUCGGGUUGUAAAGCACUUUUGGCAGGAAAGAAACGUCGCGGGCUAAUACCCCGUGGAACUGACGGUACCUGCAGAAUAAGCACCGGCUAACUACGUG